AUGUGUUGCUUCGAGGGAAUUGAGUUGAUAUCCCUUCCAAAACUGGAGAAGCUCGGUGUGCUUGGUUGGGUGUCUCACUCUGCCCCCUUGUCUUUUGGUUUUAUCCCAUCCCUUGAGGAAUUGGACCUAGCACAAAUUCUGCUCCGUCGUCAGCAUUUAUAUAAAUUAAGUGACUUUCUCCAUGGAGCCACAGGCAUACACACUCUCACAUUGGAUUCCAAAGGAAGCACGAUUUGGCUACAACCUGAAAUAAAACAACUCACCUCCGCAUUCAGAAAGCAAAGGAAGCUGAUCAUACUAGGUAUUUUUGUUGAAUUUGACCUUCUAUGGACUACAACUUUUCUUGAGGCUGCUCCUUCCAUUGAAAUGUUGCAUAUUGAGGUAUGUGAGCAUGCAUGCGAGUUGGGUGAUGAGAACGACGAAUCUGGGAUAUUCGCUGAAAGAACUAAUCCUCGGUGGGAUCUAGACUUCCAUGCCUCGAAGAACAUGCUAUUGAGAGAGCUCCACGUCGCCCACUUUAGGCCCCUAGAGCAGCAGCUGACAUUUAUUAGAGCAAUCCUGGAGCGAGCUCCCAAUCUUCAAACGGUGAUGCUAACCAAAGAUGGUGAGAUAUGCAACGAAUGUGAUGCCAUGGCCCUCGAUGCGCCACCUAGUGCAUCAGCUCGACCUGCAUUUCCGAGGACCAAGGAGGAGCAGGACUCGGUGGUCAGGUGGGUCAUAGAUGGCACCUUCUUCUCUGGUCAGAUAUAUUUUCGGUGA
Molecule: ribosomal RNA, 759 nt
Filed under: Triticum aestivum (bread wheat)
Lineage: Eukaryota; Viridiplantae; Streptophyta; Magnoliopsida; Poales; Poaceae
Description: partial small subunit ribosomal RNA
Source: RNAcentral